CCCAAAACGCUUCCAGGGGUAUCUAACGCACAACCUCCCGCGAUCAAUAAAAACGUCAAAGCAGCAUGGCCCAACAGUCUCCCUCCGCCUCUACCACAAAACGGCUCAUCCGUGAGCUCAACGACUAUGCCAAAUCCCCCAACGAAGCUCUCCUACACCUCGGCCCCAUAAACGAUACGGACCUGUUGCGCUGGGAAGCAGUCCUCAAAGGCAUAAAAGGCACGCCAUACGAAGGCGGCCUCUGGCACCUAACUCUUACAAUCCCGCCAAACUACCCGCUCCACCCUCCAGCCAUAGCCUUUACGACCCGCAUCUGCCAUCCAAACGUCUCCUUUACGACGGGCGAGAUCUGUCUAACCCUUCUCACCACCGAACAUUGGAGCCCUGCAUACACGUUGUCAACGACAAUGUCAGCUAUUCAGCAGUUGUUGACGGAUCCUAGGCCCG
This 447-nucleotide small RNA is filed under the name Histoplasma capsulatum var. duboisii H88. Its description in RNAcentral is "Histoplasma capsulatum H88 hypothetical RNA". The record is from RNAcentral. Lineage: Eukaryota; Fungi; Ascomycota; Eurotiomycetes; Onygenales; Ajellomycetaceae.